GACGAACGCUGGCGGCGUGCUUAACACAUGCAAGUCGAACGGAAAGGCGCUGCGUUUGUUGGGUUCUCGAUUGGCGAACGGGUGAGUAACACGUGAGUAACCCGCCCUUGACUGAGGGAUAACAUCAGGAAACUGGGGCGAUUACCGGGUAGGAUCUCUUGCAGCGUGGGGGUGGUAGGAAAAUUACGGCGUUUGGGGAUGGACUGGAUGCUUACGAGCUGGAUGGUGGGGUAGUGGAAGACCAAGGCUUUGAGGGGUAGCCGGCAUGAGAGCGUGAACGGCCACAUUGGUCCUACGAUACGGCCCAGACUCGUACCGGCGGCAGCAGUGGAGAAUAUUGCACAGUGGGCGGACGCGUGAUGCAGCAACGCCGGGUGCGGGAUGAUGGCCUUCGAGUUGUAAACCGAUUUCGAAUGUGACGAAGCGUGAGUGACGGUACCGGGUAAAGAAGCAACGGCUAACUACGUG
Molecule: ribosomal RNA, 468 nt
Filed under: uncultured bacterium
Lineage: Bacteria
Description: partial 16S ribosomal RNA
Rfam family: Bacterial small subunit ribosomal RNA
Source: RNAcentral